GCUGGCGCCUGCGUGUGGACGGCCGGUGGCCGCGCUGGGCGAGUCGGGGGCGCGCCCGUCCCCGUCUGCCGUUGGCUGGCUUCCGGCGAUGCGGAGAGCGGGUUUCCGCGGGACCAGGUGUCCCAUGUUGUCUCCAGUGAUGGAGAACUCAGAGCAGCCUGUGUUCUGGCCUGUCACGCAUGCCUGGCAUUGUCGCACCGUAGAUUAAGCCGGCACCUGCAAUGUUACCAAAAUAUGAAUAUCAGUUUGAAUCCCAGCUACUCUGCUUCUCAUCCAUUUCCUUGAUGGUGUGCCUGGACAGACCUAGAGGAUGGCCCAAAUGUUUGGGACCCUGUCACCCAUGUGGGCGACCUGGGAGGGAGCAGAAGUGGGGCUUUGAACGUGUUGCCCUGUAGGAAGAGAAGAACCACGAUGACAGAGUCCCCACAGCACCAGGGUGGCCAGAAGGAAGAUGCCGUAGAGAUGGUCCCAGUGACAGACUUGCAGUCUGUGUCGCUGUCCUGGGGUGCAGGCCAUGACAGACUGCAGCA
This is a long non-coding RNA of Ochotona curzoniae (black-lipped pika), 530 nucleotides long. RefSeq lists it as uncharacterized. The transcript has 4 exons. The record is from RefSeq and is a predicted model, not a curated record. Lineage: Eukaryota; Metazoa; Chordata; Mammalia; Lagomorpha; Ochotonidae.